RNAcentral lists this ribosomal RNA (442 nucleotides) under uncultured bacterium. RNAcentral's name for it is "partial 16S ribosomal RNA". It matches the Rfam family "Bacterial small subunit ribosomal RNA", at positions 338 to 795 of the family's 1533-position model. The record is from RNAcentral.
CCUACGGGCGGCAGCAGUGGGGAAUAUUGCGCAAUGGGCGAAAGCCUGACGCAGCGACGCCGCGUGCGGGAUGAAGGCCUUCGGGUUGUAAACCGCUGUCGGGAGGGACGAAGUUCUGACGGUACCUCCAAAGGAAGCACCGGCUAACUCUGUGCCAGCAGCCGCGGUAAUACAGCGGGUGCCAGCGUUGUCCGGAAUCACUGGGCGUAAAGGGCGCGUAGGCGGCCUUGUACGUCGGGGGUGAAACGCUGCAGCUUAACCGCAGCACUGCCUUCGAGACUGCUGGGCUUGAGCACGGUAGAGGCUGGUGGAAUUCCCGGUGUAGCGGUGGAAUGCGUAGAGAUCGGGAAGAACAUCGGUGGCGAAGGCGGCCAGCUGGGCCGUUGCUGACGCUGAGGCGCGAAAGCUAGGGGAGCGAACGGGAUUAGAUACCCCUGUAGUC